This 203-nucleotide long non-coding RNA is filed under the name Mytilus galloprovincialis (Mediterranean mussel). Lineage: Eukaryota; Metazoa; Mollusca; Bivalvia; Mytilida; Mytilidae. The record is from RNAcentral.
CGUGGAACAGGGCAUUAGUCAAUUUUAGCCAUUUCAGGUUAAUCACUGACACUGUCCAAAGAAAUACUACCAAGAGUCGGCGUUGGUAACGGCUGUCGUUGAUAUCACUGUUCCUGUGCUCUUUGGUUCUGUCAUCCUGGAAAGGUUCAAUUUGUUAUUCUGAAAUGCUAUUUAACCGGCGGUCUGGUUUCUAUAAUUUAAAU